UAACGGCUAUUUGAACUAACGGUC
RNAcentral lists this non-coding RNA (24 nucleotides) under Arabidopsis thaliana (thale cress). The record is from RNAcentral. Lineage: Eukaryota; Viridiplantae; Streptophyta; Magnoliopsida; Brassicales; Brassicaceae.